GGAGUGGUAGUUCAGUUGGUUAGAAUACCGGCCUGUCACGCCGGGGGUCGCGGGUUCGAGUCCUGUCCACUCCGCCA
RNAcentral lists this transfer RNA (77 nucleotides) under Dechloromonas sp. Its description in RNAcentral is "tRNA-Asp". It matches the Rfam family "tRNA". Rfam says of the family: Transfer RNA (tRNA) molecules are approximately 80 nucleotides in length. Their secondary structure includes four short double-helical elements and three loops (D, anti-codon, and T loops). Further hydrogen bonds mediate the characteristic L-shaped molecular structure. tRNAs have two regions of fundamental functional importance: the anti-codon, which is responsible for specific mRNA codon recognition, and the 3' end, to which the tRNAs corresponding amino acid is attached (by aminoacyl-tRNA synthetases). tRNAs cope with the degeneracy of the genetic code in two manners: having more than one tRNA (with a specific anti-codon) for a particular amino acid; and 'wobble' base-pairing, i.e. permitting non-standard base-pairing at the 3rd anti-codon position. Lineage: Bacteria; Pseudomonadati; Pseudomonadota; Betaproteobacteria; Rhodocyclales; Azonexaceae. The record is from RNAcentral.